This 515-nucleotide ribosomal RNA is filed under the name Simulium nobile. RNAcentral describes it as "partial 16S ribosomal RNA". It matches the Rfam family "Bacterial large subunit ribosomal RNA", at positions 1815 to 2594 of the family's 2925-position model. Lineage: Eukaryota; Metazoa; Arthropoda; Insecta; Diptera; Simuliidae. The record is from RNAcentral.
ACAUGUCUUUUUGGUUAUUUAAUAUAAAGUCUGACCUGCCCACUGAAUAUAAUUUUAAAGGGCCGCAGUAUUUUGACUGUGCAAAGGUAGCAUAAUCAUUAGUCUUUUAAUUGAAGGCUGGUAUGAAUGGUUGGAUGAGGUACAAGCUGUGUCAUAAAAAUUAGUAUUUGAAUUUACCUUUUUAGUCAAAAGGCUAAAAUUUUAUUAAAAGACGAGAAGACCCUAUAGAGCUUUAUAUAGUUAAUAUUUAGAUUAUUAAUAUUUUUUAAAUUUAAUUAUUUUAUUAUAUUUUGUUGGGGUGACAAUAAAAUUUAUAAAACUUUUAUUAUUAUUAUUCAUUAAUUUAUGUUUAAAUGAUCCAAUUUUAUUGAUUAUAAAUUUAAGUUACCUUAGGGAUAACAGCGUAAUUUUUUUUGAGAGUUCUUAUCAACAAAAAAGUUUGCGACCUCGAUGUUGGAUUAAGAUUAAUUUUGGGUGUAGAAGUUCAAAGUUUAAGUCUGUUCGACUUUUAAAUU